Molecule: ribosomal RNA, 484 nt
Filed under: uncultured bacterium
Lineage: Bacteria
Description: partial 16S ribosomal RNA
Rfam family: Bacterial small subunit ribosomal RNA
Source: RNAcentral
AUUGAACGCUGGCGGCAGGCCUAACACAUGCAAGUCGAGCGGAUGAAGGGAGCUUGCUCCUGGAUUCAGCGGCGGACGGGUGAGUAAUGCCUAGGAAUCUGCCUGGUAGUGGGGGAUAACGUCCGGAAACGGGCGCUAAUACCUCAUACGUCCUGAGGGAGAAAUUGGGGGAUCUUCGGACCUCACGCUAUCAGAUGAGCCUAGGUCGGAUUAGCUAGUUGGUGGGGUAAAGGCCUACCAAGGCGACGAUCCGUAACUGGUCUGAGAGGAUGAUCAGUCACACUGGAACUGAGACACGGUCACGAACCCUACGGGAGGCAGCAGUGGGGAAUAUUGGACAUUGGGCGAAAGCCUGAUCCAGCCCUACCGAGGGUGUGAAGAAGGUCUUCGGCUUGUAAAGCAAUUUAAGUUGGGAGGAAGGGCAGUAAGUUAAUACCUUGCUGUUUUGACGUUACCAACAGAAUAAGCACCGGCUAACUUCGUG